UUUAUUUAUUUAUUUAUUUAUUGAAUGUAGUAUUCGGUGUUAGGGUAGUUUUUUGUUGUUUAUUCCAGCAAAGUAUGAGGUAGUUACACCCCAGUCUAGUAGGUGGCGGUAAUGCAACAUUUAUUGGAUGCCAACCGCCGUUAAACCGUUAAAUCGAAGAAGAAGAUGCGCGCUUGCUGCAUAACUAUGUGAACGUCACCAGCUCGCGGUCUCUACACAGUCCACGGUGGUGAGUUGGUUAGGCCUACUGAACAGCACAAACUGGCCCUAACCAGAACAGAAAGAGGAGUUGGAGGCCCCGGUGCACAAAAAAACCCAGCCGCUUCCAGGCAAUGGGAGUAGGUGUUAGACCCGCUUGGCAGAAGCUUAUUCAAGAGGCAGAUUCCUUGUAGGAAAGUCCAAGCUUACAAGUCUAUGUCCACUGUUUGGUUAUUUUCCAUGUGCAAAAGUAGGUCAUUAUCUAGCUAUAUCUCUUCAGAUUUGGGGAAUGGUCCUUUACGAUUUCCUAACAAAGUUGUCCUGUGGCUGUUGUGUUUGUGUAAAACAUUCACCUGAUGUUUUCAACAACAACAUUCCUAGAACCCAUUUAAGGUUGUCAGAAUGUUUAAUUAGGUUGUGGGAACAUUCUGGUGAGAACAAAAUACAUGUUCCCACAACACUGAAACUGUCUUGUUGUGCGAAAACAUUC
Molecule: long non-coding RNA, 688 nt
Organism: Oncorhynchus tshawytscha (Chinook salmon)
Lineage: Eukaryota; Metazoa; Chordata; Actinopteri; Salmoniformes; Salmonidae
Source: Ensembl